RNAcentral lists this ribosomal RNA (497 nucleotides) under uncultured bacterium. RNAcentral's name for it is "partial 16S ribosomal RNA". It matches the Rfam family "Bacterial small subunit ribosomal RNA", at positions 28 to 507 of the family's 1533-position model. The record is from RNAcentral.
GAUGAACGCUGGCGGCGUGCCUAACACAUGCAAGUCGAGCGAACAGACGAUGAGCUCGCUCUUCUGACGUUAGCGACGGACGGGUGAGUAACACGUGGAUAACCUACCAAUUAGACUUGGAUAACUUCGGGAAACCGGAGCUAAUACUGGAUAAUAUAUUGAACGGCAUGGUUCAAUAGUGAUUUACGGGUUUGCUGAUACCUCUAGCUGUAUGCGCGCUGGAUUGGCUAGUUGGUAAGGUAACGGCCUACCAAGGCAACGAUGCGUAGCCGACCUGAGAGGGGGAUCGGCCACACUGGAACUGAAACACGGUCCAGACUCCUACGGGAGGCAGCAGUAGGGAAUCUUGGACAAUGGGCGGAAGCCUGACGGAGCGACGCCGCGUGGGUGAAGAAGGUCUUCGGGUCGUAAAACUCUGUUAUUGGGGAAGAACAAAUGCGUAAGUAACUAUGCAUGUCUUGACGGUACCUAAACAAAAAGCAACGGCUAACUACGUG